This 233-nucleotide ribosomal RNA is filed under the name uncultured bacterium. RNAcentral describes it as "partial 16S ribosomal RNA". It matches the Rfam family "Bacterial small subunit ribosomal RNA", at positions 118 to 351 of the family's 1533-position model. The record is from RNAcentral.
UGAGUAACCUGCCCUUGACUCUGGGAUAAGCCUGGGAAACUGGGUCUAAUACCGGAUAUGACUCCUCAUCGCAUGGUGGGGGGUGGAAAGCUUUUUGUGGUUUUGGAUGGACUCGCGGCCUAUCAGCUUGUUGGUGAGGUAAUGGCUCACCAAGGCGACGACGGGUAGCCGGCCUGAGAGGGUGACCGGCCACACUGGGACUGAGACACGGCCCAGACUCCUACGGGGGGCAG